AGCAGCUUGGAACAGUAGGAAGCGCAUGGGGCGCAUAAUCCCAAAGUCCCAGGAUCGAAACCCUGGGGUUGCUA
Molecule: non-coding RNA, 74 nt
Organism: Gautieria morchelliformis
Lineage: Eukaryota; Fungi; Basidiomycota; Agaricomycetes; Gomphales; Gomphaceae
Source: the annotation of a GenBank genome assembly